UCCAUGAGAAAGAUCCACCUAUGUCCUCAGGUCCUCAGACCGACCAGCCCAAGUAACAUCUCACCAAUUUCAAAUCUGACAGGAAUGUCAGGCCUCUGAGCCCAAGCUAAGCCAUCAUAUCCCCUGUGACCUGCACAUACACAUCCAGAUGGCCAGUUCCUGCCUUAACUGAUGACAUUCCACCACAAAAGAAGUGAAAAUGGCCUGUU
RNAcentral lists this long non-coding RNA (209 nucleotides) under Homo sapiens (human). Its description in RNAcentral is "HSALNT0351413". The record is from RNAcentral. Lineage: Eukaryota; Metazoa; Chordata; Mammalia; Primates; Hominidae.